This 66-nucleotide transfer RNA is filed under the name Timarcha goettingensis. RNAcentral describes it as "tRNA-Phe". The record is from RNAcentral. Lineage: Eukaryota; Metazoa; Arthropoda; Insecta; Coleoptera; Chrysomelidae.
AUUUAAAUAGCUUAUAAAGAGUAUAACAUUGAAGAUGUUAGGGAAAUAUUAAUAUAUUUUUAAAUA